GGAGAAUUAAAGAUGGCGAUGUGAGAGUGCCACUAAGGUGUCUGCCCUCCCUGAGGAACUGUGAGCUCCCCAAAGUGCUGGACAGCACAGUGCUCACACUCAGCCCUCCUCCACCGCCUUCCCCAGCCCUGCUCCAGUUGUCAGCAUCACAGGGCAGGAGGCAGGCUGGAGGACGGUCAGGUCAGCAGGCAGCAGUUGUACUGGAUUGGCCCCAGGGCAUACACUGGUAAGUGUGGGGUCAGUGCCUGCCCUCCCUAUGGGACCAUGGGCACAGCAGGCCAUCCUGGGAGAGCCCCAGAUGCCAUGCGCCACUAGGAAGCAGGGCUCAGCUCCUGGACACUCCCAGUCUAACAGUGAUGCAUGGGUCCCACAGCCCCUCUCCUAGUUCCGCCCCCUCAUCUCACUCUCAGGUGAUUCGAAGAACUUCCUGUACAGACUGGAGGUCCUGCCUCUCUUCCUGAAAAGCACCUUCCCCCAGAGCUGCGUCCUUCUGAGACGAGAUCACUAUCCAGACAUUCAUGCUCAGAGGCCCAGCCCCAGCCUGGCCUCCACCGUGGACUGUUCCAGCUGUGCCACACAGAAGCAACGCUGCCUGGCUGCACAGUUCCGUAACUCACUGUUCCCAUACAAAGACCAAACUGAAACCAGGGAUGAUGGGACUCUCACUCAAUGCUAAGUACUCCACAGGCACAUGAAUUAUUUCACUUAUCACCUGUCUCUGAUCCCUUGCCAUGUGAAUUGUCUUCAUUUUUUGAAGAGGAAACUGAGGUUUAGAGGGGCUAAGUAUCCUUCCCAAGGUGACAGAGCUAGGAAGUCAGGGCUGGGCUUUGAAUUCUGGGGUGACUCUCAAGUUCAUGCCCUUUCGGAUCCAUCAGGGGAGGGUUCCAGGCCACACUGGUGUUGUAAGCGGCCAUCUGACCUGCAAGGGUUGUUACCUUUUCAGUGCAAGAUCUGUUUCACUUGUCAUUUGUUAUGAUUCCCCCGUACCUAGGUCAGUACCAGGCAGAGUACUCAGUAUGUCUGUGGCAUUGCUUUAAACGGUGGAAGUUUGGUGAGAAGUUCAUUUGCCUAUUGCCAACAUAGAGGAAAGGGCUUCUGAGGUGGAAUCUCCAAGAGCAGAAGGGUGGCCAGCAGGUAGGAAACCGAGGGGAAGGCCUGUCCCCACCCUCUGCCCUGACUUCUCCCAGCAUUUCUGCCUUGGAGCUGGGCUUGGCAGCUCUAAGGGAGUCUUAGAAGUCAGGAGUGCAAAGCUUUUGGAGCUCUCUGGGUGACAUGGGGAGGAAGUCCAGGCUCUAGGAAUGUAGUCUACCUGCCCCCAUUCCCCACCUUCCUGUCCCUCACCCGCCUUCCACCUGCUCCUGGUCUUUAGUAAUGCCAGGCAACAGGCGGUGAGGGUGCCUGCUCCCUCGAGAAGCUGCCCCUCCUGCCCGGAGUACCAAGAGAGGUGCCAGCCCCUCCUC
This is a non-coding RNA of Manis javanica (Malayan pangolin), 1460 nucleotides long. The record is from RefSeq and is a predicted model, not a curated record. Lineage: Eukaryota; Metazoa; Chordata; Mammalia; Pholidota; Manidae.